CUCAAAAAAUAGAUCUCAGUUCGGACUGUAGGCUGCAACUCGCCUACACGAAGUUGGAAUUGCUAGUAAUCGUGGAUCAGCAUGCCACGGUGAAUACGUUCCCGGGUCUUGUACACACCGCCCGUCACACCAUGGGAGCUGGUAACACCCGAAGUCAGUAGUCUAACCGCAAGGAGGACGCUGCCGAAGGUGGGAUUAGCGACUGGGGUGAAGUCGUAACAAGGUACC
Molecule: ribosomal RNA, 228 nt
Filed under: uncultured bacterium
Lineage: Bacteria
Description: partial 16S ribosomal RNA
Rfam family: Bacterial small subunit ribosomal RNA
Source: RNAcentral